Oryzias latipes (Japanese medaka) is the source of this 1238-nucleotide long non-coding RNA. RefSeq lists it as uncharacterized. The record is from RefSeq and is a predicted model, not a curated record. NCBI's taxonomy places the organism in Eukaryota, Metazoa, Chordata, Actinopteri, Beloniformes, Adrianichthyidae.
GCCUCCUGCUUUAAACAAGUUAGAAACUGUAGCAUUUCUACAACUUUCCUGGAACUCAACUUAGGAGAACCAAACAAGCGAGUUUUGAGACUGGGCUUUUCUUUUUCCUGGAACCUAUCGCAGAUUAAGGCUAGUUAUCAGAGUGGUUUAUAGGCUGAGCGUGGAGCUGCUUGCUGCAGUUUCCUGUUUGAGAGUCUCAAAUCAAGACCUAAGAACAAAAACGCACGACAUAGUUUCUGAAGAACAGCAGGAGCUCUCAGUUGUGGGUGGGACUGUCUCUUCCCUUCUCCGUUGCUUCAAGCAGACAGCCAUUCACAACCCCAAUCUAACAUUACCGAUGCAACAAAAAAGCAGAAAACUUCCAAAAAGCUUUUUCUACUGGGACGCCUCGGCACGGCCAAGCUCACCUGAACUCCAGCAGAAACCUGAUCUGCACAGGGAACCACUGAAAACUUUUCCCCACUUUUAUGGAUUUUGUUGGCUGAGAGCCAUGAACUUCAAACAGCCAGAUGGGUAAGGGUGUUUCCCCUCCUGUAAUGGAAACUUCCAUACCUGUACAUGCAAGAAGCAUGGACUUAAGCCUGCCAACCUGCGGUGACACUCAGUGCAACAGCCACGGCAGCUGUGUGCCCCCUAAGGGAGGCGGCACCAAUCUGGUGUGCGACUGUGACUUGGGCUACCGCGGCGAAUUCUGUGAUGACACUGUAAACGGGGAUCUGAGUUUACCACUGACCAUCAGUGUGGUGGUUGUCAUUGUCGGACUGCUCAUUCUGGCUUUCACUGUUGCCAAGUUGAGACAAAGACAAAAGCAAAAUAGGAAACUUAAAGCAGCUGAUAUUUACUGUUAAGAUCGCUAAACCUCAACUUAAUCUGAGGAGUGUCUCAGUGCUUCAUGGCUGACUUGACAAAGUGAUGCAUCAUCCUGACUGACUGGGUCAGUGUGACACCUGCUCCUGCCUCCAACGUCUUUCUGUUCCUGCUGUUGAACUUUUACACAGAGCCCAAUUUUUUUACAGAGAAUGAAGAUUCAUAAUAGAAUAGAAUAAAGUUGCUGAUUUUUAGAAAGUUGUAAGAGGGACAUUUAUGAAUUGUCUUUCAGCAAGAGUGAAUUAGACAGGCAUCUGUUAAGAAAAUUUAGCGCAGAAAAUGUUCCUUUGGGGUUAAAAAAUACACAGUUAAUUAGGAUUUAUGUAAAAAGAAAAUAUAUAUAUAUGUAUAUUAAAAAUCUACUAAUGUUU